Molecule: small nuclear RNA, 101 nt
Filed under: Erinaceus europaeus (western European hedgehog)
Lineage: Eukaryota; Metazoa; Chordata; Mammalia; Eulipotyphla; Erinaceidae
Source: RNAcentral
CUCUUUUCGGCAAGACAUAAAUGAAAAUUGGGAUGAGACAGAGAUUACCAUGGCCCUUGGGCAAGGAUGAUACACAAUGUAGUGAAAUGUUCCAUAUUAUU